UCACUUCUGAGGAGUCCCACAAUAGGACAAAACGGCCGUCCAGUGC
RNAcentral lists this non-coding RNA (46 nucleotides) under Schistosoma curassoni. The record is from RNAcentral. Lineage: Eukaryota; Metazoa; Platyhelminthes; Trematoda; Strigeidida; Schistosomatidae.